GAUGAACGCUAGCGGCAGGCCUAAUACAUGCAAGUCGGACGGGAUUCAGGAGCUUGCUUCUGAUGAGAGUGGCGCACGGGUGCGUAACACGUAUGUAACCUCCUUUUUUAGGGGGAAUAGCCCCUGAAAGAGAGAAUAAAGCCCCACUAAAAUACCGCCCAACAUUUUGUUAAUAUUAAAAUAUUAAUAGAAUAAGAAUGGGAAUGCGGAACAUUAGCUAGAUGGCGGGGUAACGGCCAACCAUGGCGACGAUGUUUAGGGGAUCUGAGAGGAUGGCCCCCCACACUGGUACUGAGACACGGACCAGACUCCUACGGGAGGCAGCAGUAAGGAAUAUUGGUCAAUGGGCGGAAGCCUGAACCAGCCAUGCCGCGUGCAGGAAGACGGCCCUACGGGUUGUAAACUGCUUUUAUACGGGAAUAAACCCAGAUACGUGUAUCUGGCUGAAUGUACUGUAAGAAUAAGGAUCGGCUAACUCCGUG
RNAcentral lists this ribosomal RNA (482 nucleotides) under uncultured bacterium. RNAcentral describes it as "partial 16S ribosomal RNA". It matches the Rfam family "Bacterial small subunit ribosomal RNA", at positions 28 to 507 of the family's 1533-position model. The record is from RNAcentral.